Molecule: ribosomal RNA, 775 nt
Filed under: uncultured Neocallimastigales
Lineage: Eukaryota; Fungi; Neocallimastigomycota; Neocallimastigomycetes; Neocallimastigales
Description: partial large subunit ribosomal RNA
Rfam family: Eukaryotic large subunit ribosomal RNA
Source: RNAcentral
UACUAGAGUAGCACUCGCAUAUCAAUAAGCGGAGGAAAAGAAACUAACAAGGAUUCCCCUAGUAACGGCGAGUGAAGCGGGAAGAGCUCAAAUUUGAAAUCUUAAAGGGUUUCCCUUUACGAAUUGUAGUUUAAAGAAGUGUUUUCUGUUGAGGUUUUGGUAAAAGUUCUUUGGAAUAGGACAUCAUAGAGGGUGAGAAUCCCGUAUUUGACCUUUACUUUCAACUUUGUGAUACACUUUCAAAGAGUCGGAUUGUUUGGGAAUGCAGUCCAAAAUGGGUGGUAAAUUUCAUCUAAAGCUAAAUAUUGGCGAGAGACCGAUAGCGAACAAGUACCGUGAGGGAAAGAUGAAAAGAACUUUGAAAAGAGAGUUAAACAGUACGUGAAAUUGUCAAAAGGGAAGCGUUUGACACCAGUGUUGUUUUCUCUGAAAAUCAAUUAAAGAACUGUUUAUGCUAAGUUGUUUAGACUUUAUCAGCUAUCUGUUUAGCUUUUAGCUUUUCUUUAAUGCACUUUUCAGUUAACAAGUCAACAUCAAUUUCUUUUGCUGUAAAAAAGCUUGAGGAAGGUGGCUUGAGAUUCGUCUUAAGUGUUUAUAGCCUCUUGCCUAUGCAGUCGGAGAGAUUGAGGUCUGCAGCGUAGAUCCUUCGGGGCUAAAUGCAUUUGUGCUAAGUUAUAGCAUUUUAUAGACAACUUGUUGACUAUGAUUUGUCUUGUAGCUUACUCGCUUAUGUUAUUUUACCUACGCUUAGGAUGUUGAGCGCAUGUCUCUCUCU